This 498-nucleotide ribosomal RNA is filed under the name Trichoderma sp. Fungi4. RNAcentral's name for it is "partial 18S ribosomal RNA". It matches the Rfam family "Eukaryotic large subunit ribosomal RNA", at positions 57 to 559 of the family's 3401-position model. The record is from RNAcentral. Lineage: Eukaryota; Fungi; Ascomycota; Sordariomycetes; Hypocreales; Hypocreaceae.
AAAAGAAACCAACCGGGAUUGCCUCAGUAACGGCGAGUGAAGCGGCAAGAGCUCAAAUUUGAAAGCUGGCUCCUUUGGGGUCCGAGUUGUAAUUUGCAGAGGAUGCUUCGGGUGCGGCCCCCGUCUAAGUGCCCUGGAACGGGCCGUCAGAGAGGGUGAGAAUCCCGUCUGUGAUGGGCUGCCGCGCCCGUGCGAAGCUCCUUCGACGAGUCGAGUAGUUUGGGAAUGCUGCUCAAAAUGGGAGGUAUAUGUCUUCUAAAGCUAAAUAUUGGCCAGAGACCGAUAGCGCACAAGUAGAGUGAUCGAAAGAUGAAAAGCACCUUGAAAAGAGGGUUAAAUAGUACGUGAAAUUGUUGAAAGGGAAGCGCUUGUGACCAGACUUGGGCGCGGCGGAUCAUCCGGGGUUCUCUCCGGUGCACUUCGCCGCGUCUAGGCCAGCAUCUUUUUUUCGCGGGGGAAAAAGGCUUCGGGAUUUUUGGCUCCUCCGGGAGUGUUAUA